RNAcentral lists this ribosomal RNA (348 nucleotides) under alpha proteobacterium R2A153. Its description in RNAcentral is "bacterial SSU rRNA". It matches the Rfam family "Bacterial small subunit ribosomal RNA", at positions 8 to 372 of the family's 1533-position model. Lineage: Bacteria; Pseudomonadati; Pseudomonadota; Alphaproteobacteria. The record is from RNAcentral.
AGAGUUUGAUCAUGGCUCAGAACGAACGCUGGCGGCAUGCCUAAUACAUGCAAGUCGAACGAGAUCUUCGGGUCUAGUGGCGCACGGGUGCGUAACGCGUGGGAAUCUGCCCUUGGGUUCGGAAUAACAGUUGGAAACGACUGCUAAUACCGGAUGAUGACGCCAAAGAAAUUUGGAGUCCAAAGAUUUAUCGCCCAGGGAUGAGCCCGCGUAGGAUUAGCUAGUUGGUGGGGUAAAGGCCUACCAAGGCGACGAUCCUUAGCUGGUCUGAGAGGAUGAUCAGCCACACUGGGACUGAGACACGGCCCAGACUCCUACGGGAGGCAGCAGUAGGGAAUAUUGGACAAU